CAAGAUACCUGGAAUGGUUUUUGAUUAAAAUCUAUAUGGCCUUUGGAUUGGACUGCGACCGAUCAGGCUGUUGGUGAGGUAAUGGCCCACCAAACCUGUAACCGGUACGGGCUCUGAGAGGAGGAGCCCGGAGAUGGGUACUGAGACAAGGACCCAGGCCCUAUGGGGCGCAGCAGGCGCGAAACCUCUGCAAUAGGCGAAAGCCUGACAGGGUUAUUCUGAGUGACUUUCGCUAAGAAAGUCUUUUGACGCCUCUAAAAAUGGUGUAGAAUAAGGGGUGGGCAAGUCUGGUGUCAGCCGCCGCGGUAAUACCAGCACCCCGAGUGGUCGGGACGAUUAUUGGGCCUAAAGCAUCCGUAGCCGGCUUUACAAGUCCUCCGUUAAAUCCAACUGCUUAACAGAUGGGCCGCGGAGGAUACUAUAAGACUAGGAGGCAGGAGAGGCAAGCGGUACUCAGUGGGUAGGGGUAAAAUCCGUUGAUCCAUUGAAGACCACCAGUGGCGAAGGCGGCUUGCCAGAAUGCGCUCGACGGUGAGGGAUGAAAGCUGGGGGAGCAAACCGGAUUAGAUACCCGGGUAGUCCCAGCUGUAAACGAUGCAGACUCGGUGAUGGACUAGCUUCAUGCUAGUCCAGUGCCGCAGGGAAGCCGUUAAGUCUGCCGCCUGGGUAGUACGGUCGCAAGACUGAAACUUAA
RNAcentral lists this ribosomal RNA (694 nucleotides) under uncultured archaeon. RNAcentral describes it as "bacterial SSU rRNA". It matches the Rfam family "Archaeal small subunit ribosomal RNA", at positions 162 to 859 of the family's 1478-position model. The record is from RNAcentral.